This 48-nucleotide ribosomal RNA is filed under the name Xylaria sp. ENT2. RNAcentral's name for it is "partial 28S ribosomal RNA". Lineage: Eukaryota; Fungi; Ascomycota; Sordariomycetes; Xylariales; Xylariaceae. The record is from RNAcentral.
GGAUCAGGUAGGAAUACCCGCUGAACUUAAGCAUAUCAAUAAGCCGGA